CCCGAAGCCGGUGGCCCAACCCCUUGUGGGAGGGAGCUGUCGAAGGUGGGACUGGCGAUUGGGACGAAGUCGUAACAAGGUAGCCGUACCGGAAGGUGCGGCUGGAUCACCUCCUUU
Molecule: ribosomal RNA, 117 nt
Filed under: Streptomyces anulatus
Lineage: Bacteria; Bacillati; Actinomycetota; Actinomycetes; Kitasatosporales; Streptomycetaceae
Also listed under: 13 other names
Description: partial 16S ribosomal RNA
Rfam family: Bacterial small subunit ribosomal RNA
Source: RNAcentral